Molecule: long non-coding RNA, 998 nt
Organism: Eucalyptus grandis
Lineage: Eukaryota; Viridiplantae; Streptophyta; Magnoliopsida; Myrtales; Myrtaceae
Exons: 2
Source: RefSeq, a predicted model, not a curated record
CGAUCGGGGCCGCGCCGGGGCCCACCUUAAAGGUUCCUUCGACGACGGGCCGCGGGAUCGCUUUCUCCGUCUAAUUCGUCGAUGGGAAACGGAACGGACGGCUCAGAUUGUUGCGUCGAGCUAAGGCCACUUUGAAGUUCGUAUAAAAUACGCUCCCCUCUCUCUCUCUAUCCCUCUGUGUGCCCCACAAAUCCUAGCUGUCCUCAGCGUCUCAGCCCCCUCUCCAUCUCGCUCGCUAGCGUUCGUUCCGCUGCGUCCCUUCGAAACCUCGCGCCGCCGCCCGGAGGACUGAUCAUGGUGAGUGGGGGUUUUUCUCCGUGGUUCGUCUAUUUCGGCCGAUUGUCGCCGGUGGAUCGCCGUUCGCGAGCUCUUGGAGUCUGGGACGGUCGAUGCUGUUUCGGCGUGGCGCUCCAUCAUUCGGGCGCGCUGGGCCCAUUCCAUUAGCUGAGGUGGAGCGGAUAGGUUUUUCUCCGUCGUUCGUCUAUUUCGGCCGAUAAGCAGCAAGUCAGUGGGGUUUUUCUCCGUCGUUCGUCUGUUUCGGCCGACGAACAGCAAGUCAUCGUCUGUUUCGGCCGACAAACAGCAAGUCAUGGAAGCAAACCCUUGGAGGGUGGGCAGGAUCGGACGUCCCGGAUUGUUGCGUCGAGGUAACGCCAGGUUCUUUUUGGAACUGUAGGACCCUAACCUUCACUUUGUGGAGUCUCCUGCUCGUCCAGAAGUGCACAUUCACUUGGCUGCCCAGCAACCACUUGCUUUUGCUGCUGGUCAGCCAUUUUCCGACGACGACGAUGAUGCAGUUCCGAUGGAGUAUGAACCGACUACUGAGGAUUUCCUUUUCCGUAGGAGUUGCUGCAUUGGGUGCGCGUUUUUCUUGUUGGAGAGAUUUAAUAGUUUACACGUUUGAGCUCCAAUGUGACUGUUCCGUAGUCACUUUGAAUUGAUGUGGUGAUCCAUCUCAUCUGAAUGGUCUAUGUUCAAUCACGAGUGUGUUGAAGUGA